GGAACGGAGAAACCAGUCCCCGAACCAAAAUCACGUGGAUGAAAGCGGAAGACUCAUCUAAAGUUAGUGGUGGAACACCUAUCAAAAUUGAAGAUCCAAAUCAGUUUGUUCCUUUAAACACAAACCCGAACGAGAUUCGGGAACAAAAUCGAUAUGACUUGAAAACAGCAGGACCACAAUCUCAGUUGCUUGCUGGAAUUGUUGUGGAUAAGCCACCUCCUACUAUGCAAUUUGAAGAUGAUGAUCAUGGCC
This 252-nucleotide small RNA is filed under the name Pongo abelii (Sumatran orangutan). RNAcentral's name for it is "processed transcript". The record is from RNAcentral. Lineage: Eukaryota; Metazoa; Chordata; Mammalia; Primates; Hominidae.